CACGUAGGGCGCAAGCGUUGUCCGGAAUUAUUGGGCGUAAAGAGCUCGUAGGCGGUCUGUUGCGUCCGCUGUGAAAACUCGGGGCUUAACCCCGAGCCUGCAGUGGAUACGGGCAGACUAGAGGUAGGUAGGGGAGAAUGGAAUUCCCGGUGUAGCGGUGAAAUGCGCAGAUAUCAGGAGGAACACCAAUGGCGAAGGCAGCUCGCUGGGACGGUACUGACGCUGAGACGCGAAAGCGUGGGGAGCAAACAGG
This 253-nucleotide ribosomal RNA is filed under the name uncultured bacterium. Its description in RNAcentral is "partial 16S ribosomal RNA". It matches the Rfam family "Bacterial small subunit ribosomal RNA", at positions 524 to 776 of the family's 1533-position model. The record is from RNAcentral.